Doryrhamphus excisus (bluestripe pipefish) is the source of this 2724-nucleotide non-coding RNA. NCBI's taxonomy places the organism in Eukaryota, Metazoa, Chordata, Actinopteri, Syngnathiformes, Syngnathidae. The record is from RefSeq and is a predicted model, not a curated record.
GUCCAAAAGCGAUUACUGCCAUUGCACACUUAAGAAAAUCACAAUCGUCUCUAUUUUUAUUUGUGAACGGAGUACAACAUCCGGGUACUAACCGCGCACUGAAUUUUACAGUAGUUCGCAUUGGAACGCACUUAUGAUCUCAGUGUUUACAUUGAGGUACGGACGUUUAAGGAUUAAUACCAACAAGGAAUGCUAAGGAGGCGUGGGAGUGUGCUUGAGCACCGGAAGUGGUCCGUCAUGUGACUGGGGCGAGUCAUAAUAGUAAUAUAAUAAUGGCUGCCACGGGAGAUGAAGCUGCUGCAAUGGACAGCAUCUCCAGGUCACCCGGAGCACAUUCGGGUCCUCUAAACGUCACGGUAGAAUGUACGAGUCAAGGGGGAGGCUCAGAGGACGCAAAGGAUGUACCAGUGCCCAUUACUAAAAAAAACAACACCAACAGUGAUGGUGGUGUGGAGACAGCAGAAGAGGCUGUGGAGCCCGCAGAGCCUGACAUCAACGAGUUGUGUACCGACAUGUUUGAAAAGAUGUCAAUAUUUCUUCAAGGAGAACUCACAGCCACAUGCGAGGAUUACCGUCUGUUGGAGAACAUGAACAAGCUAACUAGCCUGAAGUACAUGGAAAUGAAAGACAUCAGCAUCAACAUCAGCCGAAACCUGCAGGAUCUCAACAAUAAGUAUGCCAGCCUCCAGCCCUACCUGGACCAAAUAAAUCAGAUUGAGGAGCAGGUAUCUGCACUAGAACAAGCUGCUUAUAAACUGGACGCAUAUUCCAAGAAACUUGAGGCCAGAUUCAAAAAACUGGAGAAGCGUUGACUAUAUAACGGAUGAAGUGCUGCAGUACCGCCACCUCUUCUCUCACCCAGUCUGGCCUUCUUGACGUCGGGACAAAUGUGAGACUCAAAGACAUUUUUGACACCCAGGAACGGGUUAGUGAGCAUGGAGCAGAUGAAGGCUGUGGGCUUUGAACACCUAUAUCAUUGACGUGAAGAAGUCAAGCGCCUCAGGGUAUAAAUUCAGCUUCUCUCCUCCAAGAAUCUCACAAUUGGGGUCCAUGAAAUGAUUCUGGGUUUUGUAAACGCUGUAUUGGAUGCCAGCAAUCAGUCAAGCACAGAGAAGGUGACGUAGUAAUUAGGUAAAUGUUUCUUUGGUUACACUGUGAAAUUACACACAAAUGAGACUGCACAAUUACAAUACAGUUUGGGUGUGGAAAUCCACUGGAUGCUGUCCUAAACACUCAUUAGUGGUACAACGCAACAUGCCUAAUACUUACUAAUACCUAGUACCUGUCUAUACUGUGUCAAUUUGCCAAAUCAAAAUGCCAAAAAGAUGGACAAAGUGAGAACUAAAAGUGUGAUUAAAGACAUUGACUGACUGCAAGACUGCAUGUCAUAGCAAUCCCCACAUAACAUGCAAAUAUGCUGCCCUUUGGUAAUCGUUUGACGUAUAACUCCGCCGGUAGCUUUCCAGAACACACAUCUUGAGAAAGUAUUAAACAUAAAGUAGGGAGAAUCCGCCACAGCGCCCAAGCAUUUCACGCCAUAAAUCUAAACCUAAAGUGGAGACUGGGCCGUGGAACAAUAACAAGGCAGGAUGCCACGCCGCAGAGUUGUGUAACUACAGAGCGAGUGCAAAAUAUUGUGAAACUGUGUUUGUGACUGAGAGAGAACGCACAAGACACUUAAGAAAGCCCUUUUAAUGAGCACAUUUGUUUGGUGUAAUGUCCUAAACAAAUGGUAUUUUCUUGUGAAACUGAUGUGAAGUUCCUUUUCAUGCACUCAUGCACACACACAAUAUAAUAAACGGUAACGAAGACUACAAAUACAUAGCCUUUAGUUCUCAAAUCAAAUACUCAAAACUGCAUCUGUAUAUUUUUAGCAUUGUUUGAUACAGUAGCUGCGAAUUUCUCCCUUGGAGAUUAAUAAAGUAUCUAUCUACAGGAGUUUUCAACCUUAUUUCAUUAAAGUACCCCGUGUGGAAUCUUUUUUUCAGCCAAGAAAGACAUUUUUGGCUGAAAAAACCAAAUGUAAAACACAGCACUUUAUCUCUAUCUGAUUUAUUGCUGUCCAAAACAGUGCUCAGCUGUAGUGGUCUAGUUUGACCAUUUGGAAAUAAAAAUACAUAUGAAAUAACUUCAAUUGCAAACUUAAUUAUGCUCAAACUCUUUGUGCACAUAAUUAGCAACUUAAAAUGGGAUUAUAAUAAGGCUGUGUUGUUAAAUGCAAAUAAAUUUAAUAUUGUUUUUGUCUGGAGUUAACCUUGUCGCACACACAACCACACGAGCCUGCUUAACUAAGCUAACCCCUGUUAGCUUCAAUUCACAAAAUUCCACAAGCUUUUGCUGGAGUUUAUUGCCAUUUAAUCCUGUUUAGGUCUGAGGGGGGGAGGGCUGUUCAGUGUUUGUAUCCGCCACGAUUGAGCCAUCAGCUAGGGAAAUACACUCCUACAUGAACAUCCAAUCUCCUCAUGACGACAAUAUUAAUUGAUGUAAUAUCAAUUUCCAAGAGAUUCAGUGUUAAACAGUAAAUUAUGUUAAUAUUGGCCAAUUUUCGUGAACGCAGAAAUCUAUAAAACAUACCCAACUCCUGGUGUAUAAUCUCUUUGCAUCCCCCCCGCCCCAACAACUCUGGUCAAGUUCUGAGUUAUCUGAUGUUCACUAAUUGGAUGUGAGGCCUGGUCCAGCCCUUUACAGGCGAUGUGCCCAAUUUCGGCAAUGCUGUUGUGUUGA